AUGGGAAAACCAAAUUUCCUAUUAAACGAAGACAAUCCUCAAGAUGAACAAGAUAACGAUGUGCAAGAUGACAAUGAUCUUCAUUAUGAUCAAGAUGAAAAUGAUCUUGAAUAUGAUCAAGUUGACGAUGAUAUUCAAUAUGAUCAAAAUGACGAUUCUGAAUAUGAUCAUUUUCAAAAUGACGAUUCUCAUGAUCCUCAACUAUAA
This is a non-coding RNA of Vicia faba (fava bean), 207 nucleotides long. Lineage: Eukaryota; Viridiplantae; Streptophyta; Magnoliopsida; Fabales; Fabaceae. The record is from the annotation of a GenBank genome assembly.